This 253-nucleotide ribosomal RNA is filed under the name uncultured bacterium. Its description in RNAcentral is "partial 16S ribosomal RNA". It matches the Rfam family "Bacterial small subunit ribosomal RNA", at positions 524 to 776 of the family's 1533-position model. The record is from RNAcentral.
UACGUAGGGUGCAAGCGUUGUCCGGAAUUAUUGGGCGUAAAGAGCUCGUAGGCGGUUCGUCGCGUCGGCUGUGAAUACCCGGAGCUCAACUCCGGGCCUGCAGUCGAUACGGGCGGACUCGAGUUCGGCAGGGGAGACUGGAAUUCCUGGUGUAGCGGUGAAAUGCGCAGAUAUCAGGAGGAACACCGGUGGCGAAGGCGGGUCUCUGGGCAGUAACUGACGCUGAGGAGCGAAAGCGUGGGGAGCGAACAGG